ACGAACGCUGGCGGCGUGCCUAAUACAUGCAAGUCGAGCGAAUCUAAAGGGAGCUUGCUUCCUUUAGAUUAGCGGCGGACGGGUGAGUAACACGUGGGUAACCUGCCUGUAAGACUGGGAUAACUCCGGGAAACCGGGGCUAAUACCGGAUAAGUUGUUCCUCCGCAUGGAGGAACAUUGAAAGAUGGCUUCGGCUAUCACUUACAGAUGGACCCGCGGCGCAUUAGCUAGUUGGUGAGGUAACGGCUCACCAAGGCAACGAUGCGUAGCCG
This 272-nucleotide ribosomal RNA is filed under the name Bacillus sp. ISOM014_OTU2113. RNAcentral's name for it is "partial 16S ribosomal RNA". It matches the Rfam family "Bacterial small subunit ribosomal RNA", at positions 29 to 289 of the family's 1533-position model. Lineage: Bacteria; Bacillati; Bacillota; Bacilli; Caryophanales; Bacillaceae. RNAcentral also lists the same sequence under 4 other names. The record is from RNAcentral.